Molecule: unclassified non-coding RNA, 41 nt
Filed under: Sorangium cellulosum So ce56
Lineage: Bacteria; Pseudomonadati; Myxococcota; Polyangiales; Polyangiaceae
Description: sce_s2m_62
Source: RNAcentral
GGGAGCCGCGAUCACGUCGAGCGGACCGGUGGUCCGCUCCC